CUAGCGUUGUCCGGAAUCAUUGGGCGUAAAGAGCGUGUAGGCGGUUCGGUAAGUCCGCUGUGAAAGUCCAGGGCUCAACCCUGGAAUGCCGGUGGAUACUGUCGGGCUAGAGUCCGGAAGAGGCGAGUGGAAUUCCUGGUGUAGCGGUGAAAUGCGCAGAUAUCAGGAGGAACACCAAUGGCGAAGGCAGCUCGCUGGGACGGUACUGACGCUGAGACGCGAAAGCGUGGGGAGCAAACAGG
This 242-nucleotide ribosomal RNA is filed under the name uncultured bacterium. RNAcentral's name for it is "partial 16S ribosomal RNA". It matches the Rfam family "Bacterial small subunit ribosomal RNA", at positions 535 to 776 of the family's 1533-position model. The record is from RNAcentral.